GAUGAACGCUAGCGGGAGGCUUAACACAUGCAAGUCGAGGGGCAGCACGAGGUAGCAAUACUUUGGUGGCGACCGGCGCACGGGUGAGUAACGCGUAUGUAACCUACCUUGUACAGGGGGAUAGCCCGGAGAAAUUCGGAUUAAUACCCCAUAAUGAUAUCGAGAGGCAUCUUUUGAUAUUUAAAGUUUCGACGGUACGAGAUGGGCAUGCGUGACAUUAGCUAGUUGGUAAGGUAACGGCUUACCAAGGCUUCGAUGUCUAGGGGUCCUGAGAGGGUGAUCCCCCACACUGGUACUGAGACACGGACCAGACUCCUACGGGAGGCAGCAGUGAGGAAUAUUGGUCAAUGGGGCGUAAGCCUGAACCAGCCAUCCCGCGUGAAGGAAGAAGGCGCUAUGCGUCGUAAACUUCUUUUCCAGAGGAAGUAAAAUUUCGUACGUGUACGGAACUGAAGGUACUUUGGGAAUAA
Molecule: ribosomal RNA, 470 nt
Filed under: uncultured bacterium
Lineage: Bacteria
Description: bacterial SSU rRNA
Rfam family: Bacterial small subunit ribosomal RNA
Source: RNAcentral